RNAcentral lists this small RNA (142 nucleotides) under Sinorhizobium meliloti 2011. RNAcentral describes it as "putative ncRNA". The record is from RNAcentral. Lineage: Bacteria; Pseudomonadati; Pseudomonadota; Alphaproteobacteria; Hyphomicrobiales; Rhizobiaceae.
CGGGUCGGAGCGAAUUCACCGAACUUGUGACCGACCAUUUCUUCGGACACCGAGACGGGAACAUGCUUGUUGCCGUUGUAGACGCCGAAGGUCAGACCGACGAACUGCGGAAGGAUCGUGGAGCGACGGCUCCACAUCUUGA